AUCUUCUGGGGGAGGGGCCUGUUGUAGUGAUUCUCAAGUGUCUUUGCCCGAGGCGGAAUUGCACCGCCCUUACCAGGGGCCAGGCUAAAUAAUCUGCUCAGGUUCACUUUCUGGAGCUUUUGUUCCCUGAACACUUUCCAUAGAGUUCCGGAGGACGGGAAUGAAAAUGGUGGCCUCCCAACCUCUGGCCCAGAGGAGCGGAGAGCUUGAGGCCCCACUCCUCAGUGCACCCUCAGAGAAAAGCACUCAAUCACUCCUGUCUCCCUGGCCUCCAGCCCGCUCUGAGCUCACCCAGCCUGCGACCCGUUCAAGAGCAAUUGUGAAAUUAAUGAGAUGAGAGAUUAUCCAGAAAGUGUUUUUCAUUCUUGGGUGGAGAGUAUGAUCUGUGAAAUGCUUAGAAUGGUAGCCCCACAAAGGAGGCAUCCACCCGAACCUGUGAAUGAGACUUUAUUUUCAAAAAGUCUUUGCAUAUGUAAUUAAGAGUCUUGAGAUCAUCCUGGAUUCUCCUGUGAGCCUUCAACCUAAUGACAAGUGUUCUUAUAGAAGACAGAAGAGGAGAGGACACAGAGAAGAUCCUGUGAAGAUGGAGGCAGAGAUUAGAGUUCUGCAGCCACAAGCCAAGGGACACCUGGAGCCACCAGACAUUGGGCAAAGCAAGAGAGAGAGAUCACAGGUAGGCAGAGAGGCUGGCAGAGAGAGAGAGAGAGAGGGAAGCAGGUUCCCCGUGGAGCAGAGAGCCCGAUGUGGGACCUGAUCCCAGGACCCUGAGAUCACGACCUGAGCCAAAGGCAGCAGCUUAACCCACUGAGCCAACCAGGCGCCCCUUAAAACUGCAUUUUUGAGGUAAGUAUUGCCUUUAAAUAAGAAGGAAUAUUUUUAUUACCUUUAAAGUCAAGUACUAACAUCAGUCAGUGCUAUUUGUCUCCUUAAUUUAUUAUGGUUCAGGCUCCUAAUAGAUUAGGAGCUUGAAAUAAGUUCUUUGGAAUUGUUUUAAUUAGAUUAUUGGUACUUGGCUGAAAUAAAGAGCACAUAUGUUAGAGCAGCAAUGGCACUUGUGAUGGCCAAUAUUAUGUGUCAGCUUGACUGGGCAUGGGGUGCCCGGAUAUUUGCGCAAACAUUAUUCUGGGCAUGUCUGAGAGAGAGAGAGUGAGAGAGAGCAUGAGAGGGGAGAAGAUCAGAAGGAGAAGUGGACCCCCCCAUAGAGCUUGAAGCCUGAUGGAAGACUUGAUCCCGGAACUCUGGGAUCAUGACCUGAGCCGAAGGCAGUCGCUUAACCAACUGAGCCACAUAGGCACCCUUGGUAGUUCUUUUCAUAUUCCUGUUACUUGAAGAUUGGCCCUGGACUCCCAGCUUUGCCAUCAUCUGGGAGCUUAUUAGAAAUGCAGCAUCUGGGGCGCCUGGGUGGCUCAGUGGGUUAAAGCCUCUGCCUUUAGCACAGGUCAUGAUCCCAGGGUCCUGGGAUCGAGCCCCGCAUCAGGCUCUCUGCUCUGCGGAGAUCCUGCUUCCUCUCUCUUCCUGCCUGCUUCUCUGCCUACUUGUGAUCUGUCAAAUAAAUAAAUAAAAUCUUAAAAAAAGAAAUGCAGCAUCUCAGGCUCUCAGGGCCCAUCCCAGACCCACUGAAGUAGAGUCUGCAUUUUAACAAGAUCCCCAGGUGAUUUGUAUGCACAUUAAAUUUGAGAAGCACUUCUUUAGAGCAUUUUGAAGUCUUGCCUAUAAUCUGUGUUACUGAAGAAGAGUAUAAAAGAACCUUAUAAUUAUUUGACAGUAAUACUUCAUGAGAGACAUAAUAGGGAAAUUGUAACACAAGGCUUUUUUUUUUUUUAAGAAUUCUGCAUAACAUUUGGUGAAUAAUUUUGCAAUGACAAAUAGAAAGAAAUUUACCUUUGAAAUUUUUAUUCUUAGAAAAUUUCUAGAUUUAUCAAUUUCUAAAUAAUAUUAUACUUACAGUUGACAUCUGCUUAUCCUUAAGGAUUAACAAGAUUUCUGAAAAAAAUUUUUAAAGAUUUUAUUUAUUUAUUUGACAGAGUGUGCACAAGCAGGCAGAACAUAAUUUUUUUUAAAAAUACAUUUUUGGGGGCGCCUGGGUGGCUCAGUGGGUUAAGCCACUGCCUUCGGCUCAGGUCAUGAUCUCAGGGUCCUGGGAUCGAGUCCCACAUCGGGCUCUCUGCUCAGCAGGG
Long non-coding RNA from Mustela lutreola (European mink), 2177 nucleotides. RefSeq lists it as uncharacterized. The transcript has 3 exons. NCBI's taxonomy places the organism in Eukaryota, Metazoa, Chordata, Mammalia, Carnivora, Mustelidae. The record is from RefSeq and is a predicted model, not a curated record.